ACGCUGACAAUGCUUAACACAUGCAAGUCUACUUGAACUUCGGUUUGGGUGGCGGACGGGUGAGUAACGCGUAAAGAACUUGCCUCACAGUUAGGGACAACAUUUGGAAACGAAUGCUAAUACCUGAUAUUAUGAUUUUAGGGCAUCCUAAGAUUAUGAAAGCUAUAUGCGCUGUGAGAGAGCUUUGCGUCCCAUUAGCUAGUUGGAGAGGUAACGGCUCACCAAGGCGAUGAUGGGUAGCCGGCCUGAGAGGGUGAACGGCCACAAGGGGACUGAGACACGGCCCUUACUCCUACGGGAGGCAGCAGUGGGGAAUAUUGGACAAUGGACCAAGAGUCUGAUCCAGCAAUUCUGUGUGCACGAUGAAGUUUUUCGGAAUGUAAAGUGCUUUCAGUUGGGAAGAAAAAAAUGACGGUACCAACAGAAGAAGUGACGGCUAAAUACGUGCCAGCAGCCGCGGUAAUACGUAUGUUACAAGCGUUAUCCGGAUUUAUUGGGCGUAAAGCGCGUCUAGGUGGUUAUGUAAGUCUGAUGUGAAAAUGCAGGGCUCAACUCUGUAUUGCGUUGGAAACUGUGUAACUAGAGUACUGGAGAGGUAAGCGGAACUACAAGUGUAGAGGUGAAAUUCGUAGAUAUUUGUAGGAAUGCCGACGGGGAAGCCAGCUUACUGGACAGAUACUGACGCUAAAGCGCGAAAGCGUGGGUAGCAAACAGGAUUAGAUACCCUGGUAGUCCACGCUGUAAACGAUGAUUACUAGGUGUUGGGGGUCGAACCUCAGCGCCCAAGCAAACGCGAUAAGUAAUCCGCCUGGGGAGUACGUACGCAAGUAUGAAACUCAAAGGAAUUGACGGGGACCCGCACAAGCGGUGGAGCAUGUGGUUUAAUUCGACGCAACGCGAGGAACCUUACCAGCGUUUGA
This 920-nucleotide ribosomal RNA is filed under the name uncultured bacterium. Its description in RNAcentral is "bacterial SSU rRNA". It matches the Rfam family "Bacterial small subunit ribosomal RNA", at positions 33 to 984 of the family's 1533-position model. The record is from RNAcentral.